CGGCCGCGGUAUUUUGACCGUGCAAAGGUAGCGUAAUCACCUGUCUUUUAAAUAAAGACCUGUAUGAAUGGCAAGACGAGGGUUUUACUGUCUCCUCCCCCCAGUCAAUGAAAUUGAUCUACCCGUGCAGAAGCGGGUAUAAAAACAUAAGACGAGAAGACCCUAUGGAGCUUUAGGCAUAUAUCAAAUAUGUAAAAAACCAAAUUUUUCCAAAUAGGCCUAAAAAAUGAGAAAAACAAGUAUUAAUGAUUAAGUGCCUUCGGUUGGGGCGACCACGGGGAAAAAUAAAACCCCCACAUGGAAUGGGAAAAAUAACCCUAAGCCAAGAAAAACACUUCUAAGCAACAAAAUUUUUGACCAAUAAACGACCCAGGGACACCAUCCCUGAGCAAUGAACCAAGUUACCCUAGGGAUAACAGCGCAAUCCUUUCCCAGAGCCCAUAUCAACGAAAGGGUUUACGACCUCGAUGUUGGAUCAGGGCAUCCUAACGGUGCAGCCGCUGUAAGGGUUCGUUGU
This 517-nucleotide ribosomal RNA is filed under the name Conger erebennus. RNAcentral describes it as "partial 16S ribosomal RNA". It matches the Rfam family "Bacterial large subunit ribosomal RNA", at positions 1928 to 2580 of the family's 2925-position model. The record is from RNAcentral. Lineage: Eukaryota; Metazoa; Chordata; Actinopteri; Anguilliformes; Congridae.